Molecule: long non-coding RNA, 11483 nt
Filed under: Xyrichtys novacula (pearly razorfish)
Lineage: Eukaryota; Metazoa; Chordata; Actinopteri; Labriformes; Labridae
Source: RNAcentral
AAAAAUGAAAAAAAAAAAAUUUGGGGUGUUCGGCCUUCCUGAAGGUAAUACCCCGGUAUUAGGUUUUGGGGCUAGGGUAAGGUUUAAGGUUUUUGGCGUUAGGGUUAAAAUCACUGUCCAAAACCUUUGUAGGAACUCUUUUCCAACCUUUUGGAGUUAGUUAGACCAAAAAAAAAACAAAAAUGAAAAAAAAAAUAUUUGGGGUCUUCGGGCUUCCUGAUGGUAAUACCCGGGUAUCGGGUUUUGGGGCUAGGGUAAGGUUUAAGGUUUUUGGCGUUAGGGUUAAAAUCACUGUCCAAAACCUUUGUAGGAACUCUUUUCCAACCUUUUGGAGUUAGUUAGACCAAAAAAAAAUGAUUAAUUAAAAAAAAUAUAUUUGGGGUGUUCGGGCUUCCUUAUUAGUAUUAGUUUAUGGGGCUUUGGAAAGGUUUAAGGUUUUUGGCAUUAGGGUUAAAAUCACUGUCCAAAACCUUUGUAGGAACUCUUUUCAAACCUUUUGGAGUUAGUUAGACCAAAAAAAAAAAUGAAAAAGGAAAAAAAAAUUGGGGGUUUUCGGGCUUCCUGAAGGUAAUACCCGGGUAUUAGGUUAUGAGGCUUUGGAAAGGUUUAAGGUUUUUGGCGUUAGGGUUAAAAUCACUGUCCAAAACCUUUGUAGGAACUCUUUUCCAACCUUUUGGAGUUAGUUUGACCAAAAAAUUAAAAAUGAAAUAAAUUUUUUUUGGGGUGUAAAGGCUUCCUGAAGGUAAUACCCUUGUAUUAGGUUAUGGGGCUAGGGUAAGGUUUAAGGUUUUUUGGCGUUUGGGUUGAAAUCACUGUCCAAAACCUUUGUAGAAACUCGUUUCCAACCUUUUGGAGUUAGUUAGACCAAAAAAAAAUGAAAAAUGAAAAAAAAAUAUUUGGGUUGUUCGGGCUUCCUGAAGGUAAUUCAUGUAUUAGGUUAUGGGUUUAGGGUAAGGUUUAAGGUUUUUUGCGUUUGGGUUAAAAUCAGUGUCCAAAACCUUUGUAGGAACUCGUUUCCAACCUUUUGGAGUUAGACCAAAAAAAAAUGAAAAAUGAAAAAAAUAUAUUUGGGUUGUUUGUACUUCCUGACGGUAAUUCCCGGGUAUUAGGUUAUGGGGCUAGGGUAAGGUUUAAGGUUUUUGGCGUGAGGGUUAAAAUCACUGUCCAAAACCUUUGUAGGAACUCUUUUCCAACCUUUUGGAGUUAGUUAGACCAAAAAAAAAGAUUAAAGAAAAAAAAAUAGUUGGGGAUUUCGCGAUUCCUGAAGGUAAUACCCGGGUAUUAGGUUAUGGGGCUAUGGUAAGGUUUAAGGUUUUUAGUGUUAGGGUUAAAAUCACUGUCCAAAACCUUUGUAGGAACUCUUUUCCAACCUUUUGGAGUUAGUUAGACAAGAAAAAAAGGAAAAAUGAAAAAACAAUAUUUGUGGUUUUCGGGCUUCCUGAAGGUAAUACUAUUAUUAGUAUUAUUAUAGUAAAAAUAGUAUUAUUACUAUUAUAAGUAUUAGGUUUUGGGGCUAGGGUAAGGUUGAAGGUUUUUGGCGUUAGGGUUAAAAUCACUGUCCAAAACCUUUUUAGGAACAUGUUUCAGGACUUUUUGGAGUUAGUUAGACCAAAAAAAAAAACAAAAAAUAAUAAUAAAAUUUUUUUGGGGGUGGUAGGGCUUCCUUUAGGUAAUAACCGGGUAUUAGGUUUUGGGGCUAGGGUAAGGUUUAAGUUUUUUGGCGUGAGGGUUAAAAUCACUGUCCAAAACCUUUGUAGGAACUCUUUUCCAACCCUUUCGGAGUUAGUUAGACCAAAAAAAAAAACGAAAAAUGAAAAAAAAAUAUUUGGGGUUUUCGGGCUUCCUGAAGGUAAUACCCGGGUAUUAGGUUAUGGGCUAGGGUGAGGUUUAAGGUUUUUGGAGUUAGAGUUAAAAUUACUGUCCAAAACCUUUUUAGGAACAUGUUUCAGACCUUUUGGAAUUAGUUAGACCAAAAAAUAACGAAAAAUGAAAAAAAAAAAAAUUUGGGGUGUUCGGCCUUCCUGAAGGUAAUACCCCGGUAUUAGGUUUUGGGGCUAGGGUAAGGUUUAAGGUUUUUGGCGUUAGGGUUAAAAUCACUGUCCAAAACCUUUGUAGGAACUCUUUUCCAACCUUUUGGAGUUAGUUAGACCAAAAAAAAACCAAAAAUGAAAAAAAAAAUAUUUGGGGUCUUCGGGGUUCCUGAAGGUAAUACCCGGGUAUAGGGUUUUUGGGCUAGGGUAAGGUUUAAGGUUUUUGGCGUUAGGGUUAAAAUCACUGUCCAAAACCUUUGUAGGAACUCUUUUCCAACCAUUUGGAGUUAGUUAGACCAAAAAAAAUGAUUAAUUAAAAAAAAAAUAUUUGGGGUGUUCGGGCUUCCUUAUUAGUAUUAGUUUAUGGGGCUUUGGAAAGGUUUAAGGUUUUUGGCAUUAGGGUUAAAAUCACUGUCCAAAACCUUUAUAGGAACUCUUUUCCAACCUUUUGGAGUUAGUUAGACCAAAAAAAAAUGAAAAAGGAAAAAAAAAAUGGGGGUUUUCGGGCUUCCUGAAGGUAAUACCCGGGUAUUAGGUUAUGAGGCUUUGGAAAGGUUUAAGGUUUUUGGCGUUAGGGUUAAAAUCACUGUCCAAAACCUUUGUAGGAACUCUUUUCCAACCUUUUGGAGUUAGUUAGACCAAAAAAAAAGAAAAAAGAAAAAAAAAUAUUUGGCGUCUUCGGGCUUCCUGAAGGUAAUACCCGAGUGUCAGGUUUUGGGGCUAGGGUAAGGUUUAAGGUUUUUGGCGUUAGGGUUAAAAUCACUGUCCAAAAUCUUUGUAAGAACUCUUUUCCAACCUUUUGGAGUUAGUAAGACCAAAAAAAAAAGAACAAAGAAAAAAAAAAUUGGGGGUUUUCGGGCUUCCUGAUGGUAUUACCCGGGUAUUAGGUUUUGGGGCUAGGGUAAGGUUUAAGGUAUUUGGCGUUAGGGUUAAAAUCACUGUCCAAAACCUUUGUAGGAACUCUAUUCAAACCUUUUGGAGUUAGUUAGACAAGAAAAAAAGGAAAAAUGAAAAAAAUAUAUUUGUGGUUUUCAGCCUUCCUGAAGGUAAUACCCGGGUAUUAGGUUUUGGGGCUAGGGUAAGGUUUAAGGUUUUUGGCGUUAGAGUUAAAAUCACUGUCCAAAAAGUUUAUAGGAACUCUUUUCCAACCUUUUGGAGUUAGUUAGACCAAAAAAAAUAAAAAUAAAAAAUAUAUAUUUGGGGUGAUCGGGCUUCCUGAAGGUAAUACCUGGGUAUUAGGUUAUGGGGCUAGGGUAAGUUUGAAGGUUUUUGGCGUUAGGGUUAAAAUCACUGUCCAAAACCUUUGUAGGAACUCUUUUCCAAACUUUUGGAAUGAGUUAGACCAAAAAAAAAUGAAAAAUGAAAAAAACAUAUUUGGGGUGUUCGUGCUUCCUGAAGGUAAUACCCGAGUAUUAGGUUAUGGGGCUUUGGAAACGUUAAAGGUUUUUGGCGUUAGGGGUUAAAAUCACUGCCAAAACCUUUGUAGGAACUCUAUUCAAACCUUUUGGAGUUAGACCAAAAAAAAAUGAAAAUGAAAAAAAAAAUAUUUGGGGUGUUCGGGCUUCCUGAAGGUAAUACCUGGUUUAGGGUAUGGGGCUAGGGUAAGGUUUAAGGUUUUUUGGCGUUAGGGUUAAAAUCACUGUCCAAAACCUUUGUAGGAACUCUUUUCCAACCUUUUGGAGUUAGUUAGACCAAAAAAAAAUGAAAAAUUAAAAAAAAAUAUUUCGGGUUUUCAGUCUUCCUUAAGGUAAUACCCGGCUAUUAGGUAAUGGGGCUAUGGUAAGGUUUAAGGUUUUUGGCGUUAGGGUUAAAAUCACUGUCCAAAACCUUUGUAGGAACUCUUUUCCAACCUUUUGGAGUGAGUUAGACCAAAAAACAAAUGAAAAAUAAAAAUAAAAUAUAUAUAUUUGGGGUGUUCGGGCUUCCUGAAGGUAAUACCCGGGUAUAAGGUUAUGGGGCUAGGGUAAGGUUUAAGGUUUUUGGUGUUAGGGUUAAAAUCACUGUCCAAAACCUUUGUAGGAACUCUUUUCCAACCUUUUGGAGUUAGUUAGACCAAAAAAAAUGAAAAUGAAAAAAAAAUAUUUGGGGUGUUCGGGCUUCCUGAAGGUAAUACCCGGGUAUCAGGUUUUGGGGCUAGGUUAAGGUUUAAGGUUUUUGGCGUGAGGGUUAAAAUCACUGUGCAAAACCUUUGUAGGAACUCUUUUCAAACCUUUUGGAAUUAGUUAGACCAAAAAAAAAUAAAAAAUGAAAAAAAAAUAUUUGUGGUUUUCGGGCCUCCUGAAGGUAAUACCCGGGUAUAAGGUUUUGGGGCUAGGUUAAGGUUUAAGGUUUUUGGCGUUAGGGUUAAAAUCACUGUCCAAAACCUUUGUAGGAACUCUUUUCCAACCUUUUGGAGUUAGCUAGACCAAAAAAAAAAUGAAAAAUGAAAAAUAAAAAUGGGGGUUUUCGGGCUUCCUGAAGGUAAUACCCGGGUAUCAGGUUAUGGGGCUAGGGUAAAGUUAAAGGUUUUUGGCGUUAGGGUUAAAAUCACUGUCCAAAACCUCUGUAGGAACUCUUUUCCAACCUUUUGGAAUUAGUUAGACCAAAAAAAAAAGAAAAAUGGAAAAAACAUAUUUGGGGUGUUCGGGCUUCCUGAAGGUAAUACCCGGGUAUUAGGUUUUGGGGCUUUGGAAACGUUUGAGUCUUUCGGCGUUAGGGUAAAAAUCACUGUCCAAAACCUUUGUAGGAACUCUAUUCAAACCUUUUGGAGUUAGUAAGACCAAAAAAAAUAAAAAUAAAAAUUUUUAUUUGGGGUGUUCGGGCUUCCUGAAGGUAAUACCCGGGUAUUAGGUUAUGGGGCUAGGGUAAGGUUGAAGGUUUUUGGCGUUAGGAUUAAAAUCACUGUCCAAAACCUUUUUAGGAACAUGUUUCAGACCUUUUGGAGUUAGUAAGACCAAAAAAAAAAGAACAAAGAAAAAAAAAAAUUGGGGGUUUUUGGGCUUCCUGAUGGUAAUACCCGGGUAUUAGGUUUUGGGGCUAGGGUAAGGUUUAAGGUAUUUGGCGUUAGGGUUAAAAUCACUGUCCAAAAUCUUUGUAGGAACUCUAUUCAAACCUUUUGGAGUUAGUUAGACCAUAAAAAUGUAAAAUGAAAAAAAUAUUUGAGGUUUUCGGGUUUCCUGAAGGUAAUACCCGGGUAUUUGGUUAUGGGGCUAUGGUUAGGUUUAAGGUUUUUGGCGUUAGGGUUAAAAUCACUGUCCAAAACCUUUGUAGGAACUCUUUUCCAACCUUUUGGAGUUAUUUAGACCAAAAAAAAAUGAAAAAUUAAAAAAAAAUAUUUCGGGUUUUCAGUCUUCCUUAAGGUAAUACCCGGCUAUUAGGUAAUGGGGCUAUGGUAAGGUUUAAGGUUUUUGGCGUGAGGGUUAAAAUCACUGUCCAAAACCUUUGUAGGAACUCUUUUCCAACCUUUUGGAGUGAGUUAUACCAAAAAACAAAUGAAAAAUAAAAAUAAAAUAUAUAUAUUUGGGGUGUUCGGGCUUCCUGAAGGUAAUACCCGGGUAUAAGGUUAUGGGGCUAGGGUAAGGUUUAAGGUUUUUGGUGUUAGGGUUAAAAUCACUGUCCAAAACCUUUGUAGGAACUCUUUUCCAACCUUUUGGAGUUAGUUAGACCAAAAAAAAUGAAAAAUGAAAAAAAAAUAUUUGGGGUGUUCGGGCUUCCUGAAGGUAAUACCCGGGUAUCAGGUUUUGGGGCUAGGUUAAGGUUUAAGGUUUUUGGCGUGAGGGUUAAAAUCACUGUGCAAAACCUUUGUAGGAACUCUUUUCCAACCUUUUGGAAUUAGUUAGACCAAAAAAAAAUAAAAAAUGAAAAAAAAAUAUUUGUGGUUUUCGGGCCUCCUGAAGGUAAUACCCGGGUAUAAGGUUUUGGGGCUAGGUUAAGGUUUAAGGUUUUUGGCGUUAGGGUUAAAAUCACUGUCCAAAACCUUUAUAAGAACUCUUAUCCAACCUUUUGGAUUUAGUUUGACCAAAAAAAAAGAAAAAUGAAAAUAAAAUAUUUGGGGUGUUCGGGCUUCCUGAAGGUAAUACCCGGGUAUUAGGUUAUGGGGCUAGGGUAAGGUUUAAGGUUUUUGGCGUGAGGGUUAAAAUCACUGUCCAAAACCUUUUUAGGAACAUGUUUCAGACCUUUUGGAAUUAGUUAGACCAAAAAAAAAACGAAAAAUGGAAAAAAAAUAUUUGGGGUCUUCGGGCUUCCUGAAGGUAAUACCCGGGUAUUAGGUUUUGGGGCUAGGGUAAGGUUUAAGUUUUUUGGCGUGAGGGUUAAAAUCACUGUCCAAAACCUUUGUAGGAACUCUUUUCCAACCCUUUCGGAGUUAGUUAGACCAAAAAAAAAACGAAAAAUGAAAAAAAAAUAUUUGGGGUUUUCGGGCUUCCUGAAGGUAAUACCCGGGUAUUAGGUUAUGGGCUAGGGUAAGGUUUAAGGUUUUUGGCGUUAGAGUUAAAAUUACUGUCCAAAACCUUUUUAGGAACAUGUUUCAGACCUUUUGGAAUUAGACCAAAAAAUAACGAAAAAUGAAAAAAAAAAAAAUUUGGGUUGUUCGGCCUUCCUGAAGGUAAUACCCCGGUAUUAGGUUUUGGGGUUAGGGUAAGGUUUAAGGUUUUUGGCGUUAGGGUUAAAAUCACUGUCCAAAACCUUUGUAGGAACUCUUUUCCAACCUUUUGGAGUUAGUUAGACCAAAAAAAAACCAAAAAUGAAAAAAAAAAUAUUUGGGGUCUUCGGGGUUCCUGAAGGUAAUGCCCGGGUGUUGGGUUUUUGGGCUAGGGUAAGGUUUAAGGUUUUUGGCGUUAGGGUUAAAAUCACUGUCCAAAACCUUUGUAGGAACUCUUUUCCAACCAUUUGGAGUUAGUUAGACCAAAAAAAAUGAUUAAUUAAAAAAAAUAUAUUUGGGGUGUUCGGGCUUCCUUAUUAGUAUUAGUUUAUGGGGCUUUGGAAAGGUUUAAGGUUUUUGGCAUUAGGGUUAAAAUCACUGUCCAAAACCUUUAUAGGAACUCUUUUCCAACCUUUUGGAGUUAGUUAGACCAAAAAAAAAAAUGAAAAAGGAAAAAAAAAUUGGGGGUUUUCGGGCUUCCUGAAGGUAAUACCCGGGUAUAAGGUUAUGGGGCUAGGGUAAGGUUUAAGGUUUUUGGUGUUAGGGUUAAAAUCACUGUCCAAAACCUUUGUAGGAACUCUUUUCCAACCUUUUGGAGUUAGUUAGACCAAAAAAAAUGAAAAAUGAAAAAAAAAUAUUUGGGGUGUUCGGGCUUCCUGAAGGUAAUACCCGGGUAUCAGGUUUUGGGGCUUUGGAAACGUUUGAGUCUUUCGGCGUUAGGGUAAAAAUCACUGUCCAAAACCUUUGUAGGAACUCUUUUCCAACCUUUUGGAGUUAGUAAGACAAAAAAAAAUAAAAAUAAAAAUUUUUAUUUGGGGUGUUCGGGCUUCCUGAAGGUAAUACCCGGGUAUUAGGUUAUGGGGCUAGGGUAAGGUUUAAGGUUUUUGGCGUUAGGAUUAAAAUCACUGUCCAAAACCUUUUUAGGAACAUGUUUCAGACCUUUUGGAGUUAGUAAGACCAAAAAAAAAAGAACAAAGAAAAAAAAAAAUUGGGGGUUUUCUGGCUUCCUGAUGGUAAUACCCGGGUAUUAGGUUUUGGGGCUAGGGUAAGGUUUAAGGUAUUUGGCGUUAGGGUUAAAAUCACUGUCCAAAACCUUUGUAGGAACUCUAUUCAAACCUUUUGGAGUUAGUUAGACCAUAAAAAUGUAAAAUGAAAAAAAUAUUUGAGGUUUUCGGGUUUCCUGAAGGUAAUACCCGGGUAUUUGGUUAUGGGGCUAUGGUUAGGUUUAAGGUUUUUGGCGUUAGGGUUAAAAUAACUGUCCAAAACCUUUGUAGGAACUCUUUUCCAACCUUUUGGAGUUAUUUAGACCAAAAAAAAAUGAAAAAUGAAAAAAAAAUAUUUGGGGUUUUCAGUCUUCCUGAAGGUAAUACCCGGCUAUUAGGUAAUGGGGCUAUGGUAAGGUUUAAGGUUUUUGGCGUUAGGGUUAAAAUCACUGUCCAAAACCUUUGUAGGAACUCUUUUCCAACCUUUUGGAGUGAGUUAGACCAAAAAACAAAUGAAAAAUAAAAAUAAAAUAUAUAUAUUUGGGGUGUUCGGGCUUCCUGAAGGUAAUACCCGGGUAUAAGGUUAUGGGGCUAGGGUAAGGUUUAAGGUUUUUGGUGUUAGGGUUAAAAUCACUGUCCAAAACCUUUGUAGGAACUCUUUUCCAACCUUUUGGAGUUAGUUAGACCAAAAAAAAUGAAAAAUGAAAAAAAAAUAUUUGGGGUGUUCGGGCUUCCUGAAGGUAAUACCCGGGUAUCAGGUUUUGGGGCUAGGUUAAGGUUUAAGAUAUUUGGGUUAGGGUUAAAAUCACUGUCCAAAACCUUUGUAGGAACUCUAUUCAAACCUUUUGGAGUUAGUUAGACCAUAAAAAUGUAAAAUGAAAAAAAUAUUUGAGGUUUUCGGGUUUCCUGAAGGUAAUACCCGGGUAUUUGGUUAUGGGGCUAUGGUUAGGUUUAAGGUUUUUGGCGUUAGGGUUAAAAUCACUGUCCAAAACCUUUGUAGGAACUCUUUUCCAACCUUUUGGAGUUAUUUAGACCAAAAAAAAAUGAAAAAUUAAAAAAAAAUAUUUCGGGUUUUCAGUCUUCCUUAAGGUAAUACUCGGCUAUUAGGUAAUGGGGCUAUGGUAAGGUUUAAGGUUUUUGGCGUUAGGGUUAAAAUCACUGUCCAAAACCUUUGUAGGAACUCUUUUCCAACCUUUUGGAGUGAGUUAGACCAAAAAACAAAUGAAAAAUAAAAAUAAAAUAUAUAUAUUUGGGGUGUUCGGGCUUCCUGAAGGUAAUACCCGGGUAUAAGGUUAUGGGGCUAGGGUAAGGUUUAAGGUUUUUGGCGUUUGGGUUAAAAUCAGUGUCCAAAACCUUUGUAGGAACUCAUUUCCAACCUUUUGGAGUUAGACCAAAAAAAAAUGAAAAAUGAAAAAAAUAUAUUUGGGUUGUUUGUACUUCCUGACGGUAAUUCCCGGGUAUUAGGUUAUGGGGCUAGGGUAAGGUUUAAGGUUUUUGGCGUGAGGGUUAAAAUCACUGUCCAAAACCUUUGUAGGAACUCUUUUCCAACCUUUUGGAGUUAGUUAGACCAAAAAAAAAGAUUAAAGAAAAAAAAAUAGUUGGGGAUUUCGCGCUUCCUGAAGGUAAUACCCGGGUAUUAGGUUAUGGGGCUAUGGUAAGGUUUAAGGUUUUUAGUGUUAGGGUUAAAAUCACUGUCCAAAACCUUUGUAGGAACUCUUUUCCAACCUUUUGGAGUUAGUUAGACCAAAAAAAAACGAAAAAUGAAAUAAAUUUUUUUUUGGGGUGUAAAGGGUUCCUGAAGGUAACACCCUUGUAUUAGGUUAUGGGGCUAGGGUAAGGUUUAAGGUUUUUUGGCGUUAGAGUUAAAAUUACUGUCCAAAACCUUUAUACGAACUCUUUUCCAACCUUUUGGAGUAAGUUAGACCAAAAAAAAAUGAAAAAUGAAAAAAAAAUAUUUGUGGUUUUCGGGCCUCCUGAAGGUAAUACCCGGGUAUCAGGUUUUGGGGCUAGGUUAAGGUUUAAGGUUUUUGGCGUUAGGGUUAAAAUCACUGUCCAAAACCUCUAUACGAACUCUUUUCCAACCUUUUGGAUUUAGUUUGACCAAAAAAAAAAGAAAAAUGAAAAUAAAAUAUUUGGGGUGUUCGGGCUUCCUGAAGGUAAUACCCCGGUAUUAGGUUUUGGGGCUAGGGUAAGGUUUAAGUUUUUUGGCGUGAGGGUUAAAAUUACUGUCCAAAACCUUUUUAGGAACAUGUUUCAGACCUUUUGGAAUUAGUUAGACCAAAAAAUAACGAAAAAUGAAAAAAAAAAAAUUGGGGGUGUUCGGCCUUCCUGAAGGUAAUACCCCGGUAUUAGGUUUUGGGGCUAGGGUAAGGUUUAAGGUUUUUGGCGUUAGGGUUAAAAUCACUGUCCAAAACCUUUUUAGGAACUUGUUUCAGACCUUUUGGAGUUGGUUAAACCAAAAAAAAAUGUAAAAUGAAAAAAAAAUAUUUGGGGUGUUCAGGCUUCCUGAAGGUAAUACCCGGGUAUAAGCUUUUGGGGCUAGGGUAAGGUUUAAGGUUUUUGGUGUUAGGGUUAAAAUCACUGUCCAAAACCUUUGUAGGAACUCUUUUCAAACCUUUUGGAGUUAGUUAGACCAAAAAAAAAAUGUAAAAUGAAAAAAAAAACAUAUUUGGGGUGUUCGGGCUUCCUGAAGUUAAUACCCGGGUAUUAGGUUAUGGGGCUUUGGAAAGGUUUAAGGUUUUUGGCGUUAGGGUUAAAAUCACUGUCCAAAACCUUUGUAGGAACUCUAUUCAAACCUUUUGGAAUUAGUUAGACCAAAAAAAAAUAAAAAAUGAAAAAUAAAAAUGGGGGUUUUCGGGCUUCCUGAAGGUAAUAUCCGGGUAUCAGGUUUUGGGGCUAGGGUAAAGUUAAAGGUUUUUGGCGUUAGGGUUAAAAUCACUGUCAAAAACCUCUGUAGGAACUCUUUUCCAACCUUUUGGAAUUAGUUAGACAAAAAAAAAAGAAAAAUGGAAAAAACAUAUUUGGGGUGUUCGGGCUUCCUGAAGGUAAUACCCGGGUAUUAGGUUUUGGGGCUUUGGAAACGUUUGAGUCUUUCGGCGUUAGGGUAAAAAUCACCGUCCAAAACCUUUGUAGGAACUCUUUUCCAACCUUUUGGAGUUAGUAAGACCAAAAAAAAUAAAAAUAAAAAUUUUUAUUUGGGGUGUUCGGGCUUCCUGAAGGUAAUACCCGGGUAUUAGGUUAUGGGGCUAGGGUAAGGUUUAAGGUUUUUGGCGUUAGGAUUAAAAUCACUGUCCAAAACCUUUUUAGGAACAUGUUUCAGACCUUUUGGAGUUAGUAAGACCAAAAAAAAAAGAACAAAGAAAAAAAAAAAUUGGGGGUUUUCGGGCUUCCUGAUGGUAAUACCCGGGUAUUAGGUUUUGGGGCUAGGGUAAGGUUUAAGGUAUUUGGCGUUAGGGUUAAAAUCACUGUCCAAAACCUUUGUAGGAACUCUAUUCAAACCUUUUGGAGUUAGUUAGACCAUAAAAAUGUAAAAUGAAAAAAAUAUUUGAGGUUUUCGGGUUUCCUGAAGGUAAUACCCGGGUAUUUGGUUAUGGGGCUAUGGUUAGGUUUAAGGUUUUUGGCGUUAGGGUUAAAAUCACUGUCCAAAACCUUUGUAGGAACUCUUUUCCAACCUUUUGGAGUUAUUUAGACCAAAAAAAAAUGAAAAAUUAAAAAAAAAUAUUUCGGGUUUUCAGUCUUCCUUAAGGUAAUACCCGGCUAUUAGGUAAUGGGGCUAUGGUAAGGUUUAAGGUUUUUGGCGUUAGGGUUAAAAUCACUGUCCAAAACCUUUGUAGGAACUCUUUUCCAACCUUU